GUUCAAGUCCCUAUUUUGGCAUGUGUGAUGGUGUAGUGCAGCUGAUUGAAAUGAGUAACCAAAAUGUGAUGGUGCUGUGCAGCUGAUUGGCAUUGACAUCGGCCAAUUGGCACGUAGCACCGCCUUUUUAAACCUGAUUGGUCGGUGCUUGGGAUACGUCACGUCCGACUCCGACGCACUGGUUUGGGUGUCUGUAGCCGCGGCUACAGUGCAUCGUGUGGCGGUGGCUUUUCCCUUGGCUGUGGUGGCUGGAUGACUGUUCAGUUGCAGCUAUUAAUUCCGGCACCUCGCUGUAUUGUAUCGACCAACGCGUGAUUAGAACGUGUCUGAGUGUGCGCCCAUUGGAACUGAGGUUUCCCCCGGUGGAUGACGGGUCACUUUCCACUGGUGGUGGUGUUUCUCUAUCGUGUGCUGUGGACACUGAGUGCGUGAUAGCGUGAUUUUUGAGUGCACUGUGGUGUGUGCGUGUGCUGGGGUAAAGUCUGUCCACUCGUACCCAGUCAGUGGGAACCUCCAAUCCUGGUUUGGUUUUGUUUAUUUAUUGUUUCUUGUGUUUAAUAAUGAAGUGGGAGUUUUUGAUGUGUUUUUAAGAACCGUACCAUUUGAUAGUUUUAUUCCAAAUAAAUAUUUUUGUACUUUUUCAUUAACUCACGUCUCUGUGCCUUUCUGGGAGAAACGAACCUGUGUCCUUUUCUAAUAGUUGUUUCCCUGGGUAACUCCCGGGGUGGCGUAGUCGGUUAUUUUUAUUUAAAGAGAUUUAAACCCUACUCUAUACCCUCG
Non-coding RNA from Danio rerio (zebrafish), 780 nucleotides. Lineage: Eukaryota; Metazoa; Chordata; Actinopteri; Cypriniformes; Danionidae. The record is from RefSeq and is a predicted model, not a curated record.